Small nuclear RNA from Hippopotamus amphibius kiboko, 104 nucleotides. The record is from RefSeq and is a predicted model, not a curated record. Lineage: Eukaryota; Metazoa; Chordata; Mammalia; Artiodactyla; Hippopotamidae.
GUGCUCACUUGGGCAGCACAUAUACUAGAAUUGGAACCAUACAGAGAUUAGCCUCACCCCUGUGCAAGGAUGACAUACAAAUUUGUGAAGUGUUGCAUAUUUUU